UUCCAUCUAAAGCUAAAUAUUGGCGAGAGACCGAUAGCGAACAAGUACCGUGAGGGAAAGAUGAAAAGCACUUUGGAAAGAGAAUGAAAUAGUACCUGAAAUUGCUGAAAGGGAAACGAGUGAAGUUAGACUUGCGCAGUUGGUAUUCAGCCUUGGCUUCGGUCUUGGUGCAUUUGCCUUCUAUUGCAGGCCAACAUCAGUUUACUUUGCGGUAAAAGGGUUUGGGGAAUGUGGCUUCUUCGGGAGUGUUAUAGCCCCUUACUGGAUGCCGAAUCGUAGACUGAGGAACGCAGCGCGCCUUCAUGGCAAGGCUUUCAAGCCUCGAGCGCUUAGGAUGUUGGUAGAAUAGCUUUACACGACCCGUCUUGAAACACGGACCAAGGAGUCUAACAUGCUUGCGAGUGUUUGGGUGUCAAACCCGAGCGCGGAAUGAAAGUGAAUGCAGGUGGGAUCCGUAACAGGUGCACCAUCGACCGAUCUGGAUAUUUAUUGAUGGAUUUGAGUAAGAGCAUGUAUGUUGGGACCCGAAAGAUGGUGAACUAUGCCUGAAUAGGGUGAAGCCAGAGG
RNAcentral lists this ribosomal RNA (567 nucleotides) under Kondoa sp. (in: rust fungi & allies). Its description in RNAcentral is "LSU rRNA". It matches the Rfam family "Eukaryotic large subunit ribosomal RNA", at positions 304 to 858 of the family's 3401-position model. The record is from RNAcentral. Lineage: Eukaryota; Fungi; Basidiomycota; Agaricostilbomycetes; Agaricostilbales; Kondoaceae.